ACAACGUUUCGAAAGGAACGCUAGUACCGCAUACGUCCUACGGGAGAAAGCAGGGGACCUUCGGGCCUUGCGCUAUCAGAUGAGCCUAGGUCGGAUUAGCUAGUUGGUGAGGUAAAGGCCUACCAAGGCGACGAUCUGUAGCGGGUCUGAGAGGAUGAUCCGCCACACUGGGACUGAGACACGGCCCAGACUCCUACGGGAGGCAGCAGUGGGGAAUUUUGGACAAUGGGGGCAACCCUGAUCCAGCCAUGCCGCGUGCGGGAAGAAGGCCUUCGGGUUGUAAACCGCUUUUGUCGGAAAAGAGAUCUUCUGGGCUAAUACCCCGGGAGGAUGACGGUACCGGCAAUAUAAGCAGCGGCUAACUAUGUGCCAGCAGCCGCGGUAAUACGAAUCACUAGUGAAUUCGCGGCCGCCUGCAGGUCGACCAUAUGGGAGAGCUCCCAA
RNAcentral lists this ribosomal RNA (444 nucleotides) under uncultured Gammaproteobacteria bacterium. RNAcentral's name for it is "bacterial SSU rRNA". It matches the Rfam family "Bacterial small subunit ribosomal RNA", at positions 143 to 540 of the family's 1533-position model. Lineage: Bacteria; Pseudomonadati; Pseudomonadota; Gammaproteobacteria. The record is from RNAcentral.